This 744-nucleotide ribosomal RNA is filed under the name uncultured Pseudomonadota bacterium. RNAcentral describes it as "bacterial SSU rRNA". It matches the Rfam family "Bacterial small subunit ribosomal RNA", at positions 56 to 821 of the family's 1533-position model. Lineage: Bacteria; Pseudomonadati; Pseudomonadota. The record is from RNAcentral.
UGCAGUCGAACGAGAAGCUUCUUCGGAAGUGAUUAAAGUGGCGCACGGGUGAGUAACGCGUAGACAAUCUGCCCUUCAGUCCGGGACAACUUUCCGAAAGGGGAGCUAAUACCGGAUAACAAUGUUUGACAUAAGUUGAAUAUUUGAAAGCUCCGGCGCUGAUGGAUGAGUCUGCGUCCCAUUAGCUUGUUGGUGCGGUAGCGGCGCACCAAGGCCACGAUGGGUAGCGGGUUUGAGAGGACGAUCCGCCACACUGGAACUGAGACACGGUCCAGACUCCUACGGGAGGCAGCAGUGGGGAAUAUUGCACAAUGGAGGAAACUCUGAUGCAGCAAUGCCGCGUGAGUGAAGAAGGCCCUUGGGUCGUAAAGCUCUUUUAUGGGGGAAGAUGAUGACGGUACCCCAGGAAUAGGCACCGGCUAACUACGUGCCAGCAGCCGCGGUAAUACGUAGGGUGCGAGCGUUGUUCGGAAUUACUGGGCGUAAAGGGCGCGCAGGCGGAGGUGCAAGUCGGAGGUGAAAGCCCGGGGCUCAACCCCGGAGGGUCUUUCGAAACUGCAUCUCUAGAGAGGGUCAGGGGCCGGCAGAAUUCCUGGUGUAGAGGUGAAAUUCGUAGAUAUCAGGAGGAAUACCGGUGGCGAAAGCGGCCGGCUGGGGCCACUCUGACGCUGAGGCGCGAAAGCGUGGGGAGCAAACAGGAUUAGAUACCCUGGUAGUCCACGCCGUAAACGAUGAGCACUGGAC